AUGAAUGAAGAUCAGUCCAUGAAAGUUGCCCUCAACAAGCAAACUGAUAUCACAAAAAGGCAAAAUCGUAUUCGGUUGAAUACUUCCGUCGAAUCUGUUAGAUACUUAUUACAUCAAGGUUUAGCUUUCCGUGGCAAUGAUGAAUCAGAGGAAUCCAAAAAUAAGGGGAAUUUUCGAGAGUUGGUACAAACAUUAGCAAAUCAGAAUGAGGAUGUGAGGAAUGUAGUUCUUAAGAAUGCUCCAAAAAAUUGCAAAUGGGUGUCUCCAGAUAUUCAAAAGGAACUUGCAAAUUAUUUUGCAAAGAUAACAUUGAAUUCUAUUCUUGAAGAAAUUGGUGGUGAUGUUUUCAGUUUGUUGAUUGAUGAGGCUUCCGAUGUGUCAGACAAAGAACAGAUGGCUGUUGUGUUGAGGUAUGUUGAUAAGCUUGGGUUAAUCCUAGAACGACUAGUUGGGGUAGUACAUGUGAAGGAAACAUCGGCAACGUGUCUCAAGUCAGCCCUUGAGAAAUUGCUUGUUGAUAUUGGAUUAAGCUUCAAACAAGUUAGAGGGCAAUGCUAUGACGGGGCGAGCAAUAUGAGGGGUGAGUUCAAUGGUUUGAAAGCUAAAAUUCUAGAAGAGAAUAAGUCAGCAUAUUACGUGCAUUGUUUUGCUCACCAACUCCAAUUGGUUAUCGUAGCGAUUUCAAAGAAGAAUGAAGAUAUUGCAGAUUUCUUUUACAUGAUUUCUCUUUUGUUUAAUGUGGUUGGAGCUUCUUGCAAGAGAAAAGACAUGAUCAGGGAGACUAAUAGAGAGAAUGUGAAAAAAGCCAUAAGUAGUGGGCGAAUUAGUACCGGCACAGGGUUGAAUCAAGAUCAAUCACUUCAAAGGGCGGGAGACACCCGUUGGGGUUCUCACUAUAGAACCCUCUCAAGCCUAAUUCAGUUGUUCCCAUCAAUUGUCAGUGUCCUCAGGUAUGUAUCAAAAGAAGGCAAGAAAGAUUCCAAGAAAAGUGAAGCACGUGAUCUUCUAUCAUACUUUGGAACCUUUGAUUUUGUGUUCUAUUUGCACAUGAUGUUCCAUAUAUUAGGGAGUGCCAACACUCUGUCACAAGCAUUGCAACAAAAGGAUCAAGAUAUCUUGAAUGCAAUGUCAUGUGUGAAGUCAACAAGGAAUGAUCUACAACAACUAAGAGAUAAUGGGUGGGAAUCACUUUUGGAGAAGGUAUAUGCAUUCUGUGAAGAACAUGACAUUCCAAAGCUAAGCAUGCAAGAUGAAUAUGUCAAUCGACAUAAUACACGAAAAAGAACCAAUAUAACAAACCUGCAUCAUUAUCAAAUAGAGUGUCUUAACACUGUUAUUGAUUGGCAACUUCGAGAGUUUGAUGACAGAUUCUGA
Molecule: ribosomal RNA, 1374 nt
Filed under: Triticum aestivum (bread wheat)
Lineage: Eukaryota; Viridiplantae; Streptophyta; Magnoliopsida; Poales; Poaceae
Description: partial small subunit ribosomal RNA
Source: RNAcentral